GGUCGCCUCUGAAUUUUUUCUCAGGUUGACCUCGGAUCAGG
Molecule: ribosomal RNA, 41 nt
Filed under: ascomycete sp. 15652-sp1
Lineage: Eukaryota; Fungi; Ascomycota
Also listed under: 1 other name
Description: partial 28S ribosomal RNA
Source: RNAcentral